AACGAACGCUGGCGGCAUGCCUAACACAUGCAAGUCGAACGAAACCUUCGGGUCUAGUGGCGCACGGGUGCGUAAAGCGUGGGAACCUGCCCUUAGGUUCGGAAUAACUCCCCGAGAGGGGUGCUAAUACCGGAUACUUUCUUCGGGCCACAGAUUUAUCGCAUUUGGAUGGGCCCGCGUUGGGUUAGCUAGUUGGUAGUGUAAAAGCCUAGCAAGGCGACGCUCCAUAGCUGGUCUGAGAGGAUGGUCAGCCACACUGGGACUGAGACACGGCCGAGACUCCUACGGGAGGAAGCAGUGGGGAAUAUUGGACAAUGGGCGAGAGACUGAUGCAGCCAUGCCGCGUGAGUGAUGAAGGACUUAGGGUUGUAAAGCUCUGUUAACCGGGAUGAUAAUGACAGUACCGAGAGAAUAAGCCCCGGCUAACUACGUG
RNAcentral lists this ribosomal RNA (433 nucleotides) under uncultured bacterium. RNAcentral's name for it is "partial 16S ribosomal RNA". It matches the Rfam family "Bacterial small subunit ribosomal RNA", at positions 29 to 507 of the family's 1533-position model. The record is from RNAcentral.